GGGGUUGUGGGGUAACUUGGUUAGCCUACCAGGAUGGGGUCCUGGUGAUCCCGGUUCAAAUCCGAGCAGCCCCA
RNAcentral lists this transfer RNA (74 nucleotides) under Candidatus Woesearchaeota archaeon. Its description in RNAcentral is "tRNA-Pro". It matches the Rfam family "tRNA". From Rfam's summary of the family: Transfer RNA (tRNA) molecules are approximately 80 nucleotides in length. Their secondary structure includes four short double-helical elements and three loops (D, anti-codon, and T loops). Lineage: Archaea; Nanobdellati; Candidatus Woesearchaeota. The record is from RNAcentral.